This 72-nucleotide transfer RNA is filed under the name Ictidomys tridecemlineatus (thirteen-lined ground squirrel). RNAcentral's name for it is "Spermophilus tridecemlineatus (thirteen-lined ground squirrel) tRNA". It matches the Rfam family "tRNA". From Rfam's summary of the family: Transfer RNA (tRNA) molecules are approximately 80 nucleotides in length. Their secondary structure includes four short double-helical elements and three loops (D, anti-codon, and T loops). The record is from Rfam by way of RNAcentral. Lineage: Eukaryota; Metazoa; Chordata; Mammalia; Rodentia; Sciuridae.
UGAGUUGUGACUCAGUGGUAGAGUGCUUGCCUAGUAUGUGCGAGGCCCUGGGUUCGAUCCUCAGCACCACAU